GUGUAACGUGAAGGGAGAGUAGAGUAGUAUGGUUUUUGCGUACCUGUAACUUCUUGCACUGUGUGCUUUAUGUGUGCAUGUGUGUAUUCUAAAGUAAAUAAGAGGUUCUCGGUUGGCAUUGAGAGAGUAGAAUUUGGUUUUUGUUUGUUUGUAGGGAAAAUGUGGGGAAUGGAUACAAAUUGGAACAUUGAAUGCGAAAUAUACAUUUUAGGACUUAUAAUCUGAGAAAUCAUAAAUAUGUAAUUCAUACUAUUACUAACACACAAUGUGGGGUUUGGGUGUAUGGAAAUCUUUUGUAGGACUUGAAAAUGUGUUGCAACUAGACGUGUAAACUGAAUUGAAUUAGUUUUAAGAAAAUUUUUCCUCCAUCAGAACUCAUCCAUUCCAGCAAAUGGUUCUAACUUUUGAAGUGGUAAAAAUUAGUUCGUUUUGCAUUGAAAUAUUGUAUUCAUAAGGUUUUAGGCAAAGAAAUGAUUAUGAUGAUGCCUUUGUGAUGAAAGUGAAUUGCUUUGCAUAUGAUUUUGUUGUGCAUUCAUUGUGUGUAGGUGGAAGCUAAUGAUGC
RNAcentral lists this unclassified non-coding RNA (562 nucleotides) under Hevea brasiliensis (rubber tree). The record is from RNAcentral. Lineage: Eukaryota; Viridiplantae; Streptophyta; Magnoliopsida; Malpighiales; Euphorbiaceae.